Molecule: long non-coding RNA, 733 nt
Filed under: Mustela putorius furo (domestic ferret)
Lineage: Eukaryota; Metazoa; Chordata; Mammalia; Carnivora; Mustelidae
Description: lncRNA (ENSMPUG00000026383.1)
Source: RNAcentral
AUGCUUUUCCAGAAGGACCACAGGGAAGGUGGGGGAUGGGGAGGUGGAAUGAACUACAGAGACACUGGUAAUAGGAAAGCAAAGAAGGGGCUAAGGCAUCUCCUGGAGGUCACUAGAGGUGACAUCUGUCUACCACCAUAUCACUGGGUUAGAAGGGUCAAGGCAAAACAUGGCUCUCCUGGCUCGCUUGAUCUACUUAAGUCACCUGAGGUUUGCCCCAUUCUCAGGAGUAGUUCACGAUACCUGUUCAACUUCUCAUCUCUGGCCAAGAGUGUCCUUCAAACCAGCCCUUCUCACCGCUGGGGCUCCCCCUGCUUUCCUCUGGCUAGAACCUGGCACAAAUGCUCUUCAUUCAGUCCUCUGCGGCCACGGGUCUCGGUUAAUGGCCCCUUCCACACUGAAAACUCUCCAUACAUUUCUUUUAAAACCUUUUAUUCAAUAAUAUAUACUUUUAAAAUUAUAAUAUGUAACUGCCCGUCAUGCCGUAGAUUGCCCCCGUACCCCCACUGUGGAGUCUGUGGUCGGCUAGUUAACGUGGUCUGCUGGUGGCCACAGGCCGAGGCCCAGGGGGGCAAGUCAGCUCCCCCCAGAGGCCAUCCCAUCCUGCAGGUGACUGUAAAGCAAAUUCGAGGCUUCUAUCAUGGUUGUGCCAAACGUCCUUCUGGUUCCAGGUGAGAGGACACGACCGUCAGUUUCUGAAUGCUUUGGGAUUUUAGGAAUAAAAUUAUUCAAG